RNAcentral lists this ribosomal RNA (301 nucleotides) under uncultured bacterium. RNAcentral's name for it is "partial 16S ribosomal RNA". It matches the Rfam family "Bacterial small subunit ribosomal RNA", at positions 509 to 807 of the family's 1533-position model. The record is from RNAcentral.
CAGCCGCCGCGGGAAUACGGAGGGUGCAAGCGUUAAUCGGAAUUACUGGGCGUAAAGCGUGCGUAGGUGGUGGUUUAAGUCCGUUGUGAAAGCCCUGGGCUCAACCUGGGAAUUGCAGUGGAUACUGGGUCACUAGAGUGUGGUAGAGGAUAGUGGAAUUUCCGGUGUAGCAGUGAAAUGCGUAGAGAUCGGAAGGAACAUCUGUGGCGAAGGCGACUAUCUGGGCCAACACUGACACUGAGGCACGAAAGCGUGGGGAGCAAACAGGAUUAGAUACCCGCGUAGUCCCUGUCUCUUAUAC